Molecule: long non-coding RNA, 2322 nt
Filed under: Phoenix dactylifera (date palm)
Lineage: Eukaryota; Viridiplantae; Streptophyta; Magnoliopsida; Arecales; Arecaceae
Description: long non-coding RNA (PDAC_LNC004533)
Source: RNAcentral
GCUUUCUUAAACGCUUUUGUUUCUUUUGACAAAAAACUAGCUAUAUCAAAUACGGCUGCAACCAACAUAAUCCUAUAAUUACAGGAUCGAACUCAAGGUACGACAUGCACAUGUUUUUCAAAGAGUUCCACAAGUUGCCAUCUCCAAAUGGGCUAGAAAACCCUAGUUAACGAAGUAUGUGGUUCUGGUAAACCAUUGGUUGAGUUCAUUGCAGUUAGAACAUUUUACCAUCUGGAUGUGAAAUGCAACCCUUUCUAGCUUUGUAGAGAACCUUCCACUGAAAACAGUAGAUACUUGACAGUAUAAGCUUCAAUAAGCAGGGUGAUAAACCUGCACUCAGAUUGUAUGAUAUGAUGCUCUCUCAUUGCAGCACACAGUGCUGGACAUAGAGCAGCAACAGCGGACCGAUAAGAUGCCUCCAGAGCAACGAUUUGCAAUGUUCUGGUCAUGUCUUUAGAUGUUGUAAUGAUCCUCACUUCCCAUACAGCAGUCGGAAGAAAUUCAUUCCAUAUCAGAAGUUUCAUCCUCAUCUUCAUCAAGUAUAAACACCAAGGCAUGCCUUCGUGACGAAAAGACACAAGCAACACCUCGGGAAGCUGCAGUAGAAGUUCAGGCAUCAUUCCCAAAAGAAAAAAGAAAAAUAUAAUAACCACUAAAAGUUGUCAUAUGGAAACAAAAUCUUUAUCUUUAUCAAGAUGUUCUUACCACUAACUGCCAGUGGGGUGGUUACAGGGUGAGGAAUACAACGAACUUUUCCAUUUUCAAUGUGCAGGUCCAGAGCAGAAGCCUAAGGCAUAGUGCAUAACAAAAAUAACUUGUUAUGGAAAUUUCAAGAUUUGUCAAAAAUGAACAAAAGGAUGUAACAUAAAUACAAAGGCUACUCCCAACAUGUAUGCACAAAUCUAUGGAUAAAUGUUUCACACUCCAGAAUAGUUUUUUUUGUGGAUUAUCAAUAAUUUCACUGAUUACAAAAGUAAGCACAAAAGCCAUACAAUCGGAAUCCAGAUCCUUUAAGAUUGCAGAUUGAAAUAUGAAUUUAUUACUGGUCAAACUACACUUUGUUAUAUCAUAUAGUCCAUGUGGCUGCAGACACAGGCAUGUGUUUAGAUAAAUCAAGAUUUCAUUCUGAUCUAGAAUGAAUCUGGACCUGGUUGUUUAGAUCUAAGUAAAUGAAAUGAGAAUCAAAUAGAAAUUCUCAUUCCAGGUGAUAAAUAAGAGAAAAGGUGACAAAUAUACGACCUAAUCUUUUAUUUUCAUGUUUGGUUACCAAUAUGAUGGUACCUAGGUUCUGAUACAGUUAUAACAAAAAUCUCAAAAUAUUACAACUACUAAUAAAUAGUAAAAUGGGAUAUAGAAGUUUUCAUCUAAUGCCACCUGCUAGAUUUAAGAAAUAAAUAUAUUAGAGAAGCUGUAGGAGUUGCAUAAAUUAAGGACAAUUGGUGGAAAAUCGAUUGAGAUGAUAUGGACAUGUAUAGUGAAGACCUGAGGAGAAGUAAUUUAGUUUGUGUUUAAGGUUGCAAAAAAAGAAGAUGAUGACCUAAAUUAACAUGGAUGUAAGUUAUGAGGAAGGAUAUGGAAAAAUUUGGAAUAACAUCAGACGUAGCCCUAGAUGGGAAUACUUGGCGAAUGAGGAUCUAUGAAGCCAAUUCCAAAUAGUUGGGAAAAGGUUAGAUGAUUAUUUAAGUGGGAUGCGAUUUGAAUUAAGAUAUAGGGAUUUUACAAUUGGACCCAUGACUUCUUGGACCAAUCUUGAUGCUUUCUUAAACGCUUUUGUUUCUUUUGACAAAAAACUAGCUAUAUCAAAUACGGCUGCAACCAACAUAAUCCUAUAAUUACAGGAUCGAACUCAAGGUACGACAUGCACAUGUUUUUCAAAGAGUUCCACAAGUUGCCAUCUCCAAAUGGGCUAGAAAACCCUAGUUAACGAAGUAUGUGGUUCUGGUAAACCAUUGGUUGAGUUCAUUGCAGUUAGAACAUUUUACCAUCUGGAUGUGAAAUGCAACCCUUUCUAGCUUUGUAGAGAACCUUCCACUGAAAACAGUAGAUACUUGACAGUAUAAGCUUCAAUAAGCAGGGUGAUAAACCUGCACUCAGAUUGUAUGAAUGAUGCUCUCUCAUUGCAGCACACGGUGCUGGACAUAGAGCAGCAACAGGGACCGAUAAGAUGCCUCCAGAGCAACGAUUUGCAAUGUUCUGGUCAUGUCUUUAGAUGUUGUAAUGAUCCUCACUUCCCAUACAGCAGUCGGAAGAAAUUCAUUCCAUAUCAGAAGUUUCAUCCUCAUCUUCAUCAAGUAUAAACACCAAGGCAUGCCUUCGUGACGA